CUCAGUAACGAAAAUCUAGCUGUGGCAGGUGUGGCUUAGACUUAAAAAAGGCUUGUUGGGUCCAAAGAUAGGGUUUCCGUACCUGGUGUGUGCCCGAGAUCCUUGGCUAGUAUUUACAGCGAAAGCUGCGUCCUUUUGCCACGGCGAAUUAGGAGUACCAUCCGAGAUGUCCAAUCUACGUCCAGAAUGGAUCAAAGAAAACGGGGGUAAAAGCACAGACAAUCGCUCAAGGCACUUCUCCUAACUCAAAAAGGCUACAGACGAACCACGGCAGUGACCUUGCAUGGAUAGUGGAUAAAUCAAAACUGAACGUACAGAGCAGCACAAAAUCUUAUUCGGCUCACCAUGUGCAGCCGAUCUACUACACUAUCAAACAAUGUGUUUCAGUUAUACUAUUGCUGAUGUAGUGAGAGGGUUUGGUCAAUUGCGCGAAAACAUUUGGCCGCACUUACCGAUGAAAUUAUGCUGUGGCUGCAACAAGGUUAUAUAUGGUUAUACCUUAACAUGAACGGGGAAAGCUGAUUAAGCUGAUAAAUACAAUUAGGGUAAACACAACGGUUUUGGCCAGCCUAAGAGAAAA
Long non-coding RNA from Aedes aegypti (yellow fever mosquito), 580 nucleotides. RefSeq lists it as uncharacterized. The record is from RefSeq and is a predicted model, not a curated record. The transcript has 2 exons. NCBI's taxonomy places the organism in Eukaryota, Metazoa, Arthropoda, Insecta, Diptera, Culicidae.